CCAAGGCAUUAGGGGUGAAGCAAUGGAAAUGAUCAAAGGUUUUCCUUCAGCAGAUGUAAAAUGUCUAGAUGAUUCAAGGCCAGGUCAAGCAAAUACUAAUGAGAGUCUCCUGUGUGGUCAUGGAGGAGCCCCAAAAGAAAAAAGGAGUGAUGCCAGUGAAGGGAGCUAAGUGAAGAUGGAUCAUGUCUUCUUUUCACAUUGGUUAUCGCUUCAAAAAGCCACUCUUUACUUAAGUUUCUCAAGUCACUGCAUGCACACAAAUCCAGUCCCCAGAGGAUGCGAGUUGAAAAUUAAUGAAAUGAGGUCGCUUUGUCAUUGGAAGUCACUGCACGUGUGGAUGGUGAAUUUGUAUUUAUUUAUUUUUGUUGCUGUUUUCCAUCUUGGCCCUGCUGUGCUUUAAUUACACAUUUGGUUUUAAUUUAGAAGUGCCUGAUUCACAUGCAUCCUAGACCAAUGAUCUUCACUUUAUGGAACUUCAGAUAAAGUUGUGAAUUCUUGGGUAUAUUUGAGUAUGCACAGUGACCCGUUUUAAAUCUCUUAAAAAGUG
Non-coding RNA from Pimephales promelas (fathead minnow), 547 nucleotides. NCBI's taxonomy places the organism in Eukaryota, Metazoa, Chordata, Actinopteri, Cypriniformes, Leuciscidae. The record is from RefSeq and is a predicted model, not a curated record.